RNAcentral lists this ribosomal RNA (433 nucleotides) under uncultured bacterium. RNAcentral describes it as "partial 16S ribosomal RNA". It matches the Rfam family "Bacterial small subunit ribosomal RNA", at positions 29 to 507 of the family's 1533-position model. The record is from RNAcentral.
AACAAACGCUGGCGGCAUGCCUAACACAUGCAAGUCGAACGAGACCUUCGGGUCUAGUGGCGCACGGGUGCGUAACGCGUGGGAACCUGCCCUUAGGUUCGGAAUAACUCCCCGAAAGGGGUGCUAAUACCGGAUAAUGUCUUCGGACCAAAGAUUUAUCGCCUUUGGAUGGGCCCGCGUUGGAUUAGCUAGUUGGUAGGGUAAAAGCCUACCAAGGCGACGAUCCAUAGCUGGUCUGAGAGGAUGAUCAGCCACACUGGGACUGAGACACGGCCCAGACUCCUACGGGAGGCAGCAGUGGGGAAUAUUGGACAAUGGGCGAAAGCCUGAUCCAGCAAUGCCGCGUGAGUGAAGAAGGCCUUAGGGUUGUAAAGCUCUUUUACCCGGGAUGAUAAUGACAGUACCGGGAGAAUAAGCUCCGGCUAACUCCGUG